GGCAGAGCCAAAACCGUAACAGCCAGAGCUAGAGACUCCGGCCUGGGGUUCUGGCUCUGUCCCGUAUCAGCUAGGAAACCCAGGGCAAGCUACUUAAACUCUCAGAGGCUCAGCUUUUUCAUGAGCAAACAGGAAAACAGGGCUAAUGAUUAGUCCUUGGCUUAAAAUACAUACCGCGUGUGAAAUUGCAGAAAAGCUUCAAUUGCAGCACAAAUAAUGUAUGUUUUCUGAACCAUCUGAGGGCGAGUUAUCAACACUUACUCUCCAAUGCGUCAUCACCCCCAACACUCCUGUGUAUUUCCUGCAAAUAAGGAUCUUCUCCUACAUGGUCAGUCCGAACAACCUUCAGUCACAACUGAGAAGGUCACAUGGUGCAUCACUGCCGCUCAGUCUCCCCAAGCCCAGUGAUUUCUUCACAAUUAGGGAUCUGAGACCCGCAGUAUGGCAGUGACAAGAUCCAAGUCUUGGGACACCUAGCCAGGAGGGAAGAAUUUGAGGGAGAGGUGGAAAAUAUGCGAGGCUGAACUGACCUUCAAGGACAAGAAGGCUGUGUUCAGAUAGACAGAGUUUGUCUUCUGGGAGAGGAGUGGGCUUAUCCAGGAUGAUCCCAAAGGCAGAUUGAGGACCAGUGGGAGGACAUCCUGAGAAAGCAGAUCCAGCUUUAGGCAAGGAAGGACUUCGUAACAGGCAGAGAGCCCAUGUUGGAAACAAGCAGCUCUGCAAGGUGUGGGCCCACUGUCUGACUCCCUGCGGGGCUGCUGCCUUGGAAGAGCCUCCUGCUUAGAGAGGUUCUCCUGCCGCCAGCUGUCUCUCCUGAGUCCUGAGCACCACAUCUCUGGACCGUCUGGAGCCUCCCCUCCCUUGGCUUACUGCUCCCACCACCCUCUCUCUCCACCUUGCAAGAGACACUCUCCCUCAUCCUGGGUCAUCACCCUCUUUAGAGGCGCCGCCUGGCCACGAGGUGGGCAGGAUCUUGGCCUUACUUGAUGCAGUGCACACCUCCAACAGGCAUCAGAUGGAGUGCAGCCGGGAGCAAGAUUCUCAUAGCAAUUACAAAGAUUCACAAGAAAAUGUGCCCUCCACUACACAGCUGUAAUUUACAUGCUUUCAAACUUGAUAUGGAAUGACUGUGGUUUCCCCUGAAAGAAGCAUCACUGAUCUCUGCACAGGAGAAACAAGGAUCUUGCUCUGUCACCUAGGCUGGAGUGCAAUGGCACACUCACGGCUCACUGCAGCGUCAAACUCCCAGGCUCAAGUGUUCCUCCUACCUCAGCCUCCUGAGUAGCUAGGACCACAGCACAGGCCCAGACACAAAGCAGAUGUGCAGUGGAGUGUGAAAGAGGCAGCCAACUCACUGGGGAGCUUCAGAGGGAGAUGGCCCAAAUUGCUGGGGCCUAAGAAUCUCCCGGAAUGAAGGAACAGUAGAAAGAACUGGAAGCCAAAUAUGGUGAUAGAGACUCUCAUCAAGGACACUGAGUAAACCAGAAACCUGCUUGGGCUCACGUUCCUUGUCUCUUCUUCUCAGAUCCAGGAAAGGAGCUGUCCAGGACAAUGAGGAUAGGCUGAGGAAAGACAGGCCACGGCCUUGCCUCUGUGCCAGCUCUCAUGGGCCAGGCAGAGUAUCCCAGGACAACUGCCUCCACAACCAGCUCCAUCCUUCAUCAGCAAUUCAGUACCUGAUUAACAAAUCUGUACCCCAGGAGGUUAUGCCAAGUCCAACUUCUUCCAGAGACCACAACAAUAAAUCCAAGCCACUGCUAAUGUCAUUUAUAAGCUGUGGGAUUAAAACAGAGAAGCAAUCAAUUAAUUAAAA
Molecule: long non-coding RNA, 1813 nt
Filed under: Homo sapiens (human)
Lineage: Eukaryota; Metazoa; Chordata; Mammalia; Primates; Hominidae
Description: novel transcript
Source: RNAcentral